UAAGAGAACUACGCACCUAAAACCCUGAAUGUUAUACAACAUCUAAAUAUAGUAUUUAUUACGGACUUCGUUGAUAAAGAUUCAAGUUUUUAAAGAUCCUAUAAGAUCAUCGGAACGCCACCACCUGACCUCCAUAGUAUCACGUGCAAUACUAUACGAUAGCACGUACGGCUGGAACCACGCCAGAGAUCACGUGGGACUCCGAAGCUUGCGGACAACACAGCCUUUAGUCUGAAAUCUACUGGACAUCUCAGAGCCAUAUUAGCCGACCACAGAACGUUCGGGGAGGUAAGAGGCAGUGCAUCAGGGGGACGCCCCAGAUGCCAG
Molecule: long non-coding RNA, 327 nt
Organism: Bufo bufo (common toad)
Lineage: Eukaryota; Metazoa; Chordata; Amphibia; Anura; Bufonidae
Exons: 2
Source: RefSeq, a predicted model, not a curated record